AUUGUCAGUGAAGCUCAUAACGAUCCUUGAAGAUCCGAGUAAGAUUAUCUCAUCACACCAGGUCGUACCCAUAACCGCAUCAGGUCUCCAAGGUUAGCAGCCUCUGGUCGAUAGAAUAACGUAGAUAAGGGAAUUCGGCAAAUUAGAUCCGUAACUUCGGGAAAAGGAUUGGCUCUGAGGGUUGAGUGUGGUGCCAAUGAAAUGGAACUAGGAUCUGUACUGGUGUUGGUCGCAAGAUCGAAACCGGCAUGGAGAGAAGGAAAAUUUUUGCGGCUAGCACAAUUAACAACCGACUCAGAACUGAAGCGGACAAGGGGAAUCCGACUGUUUAAUAAAAACAUAGCUUUGUGAUGGCCUCAAAAGGUGUUGACACAAAGUGAUUUCUGCCCAGUGCUUUGAAUGUGAAUAUGAAGUAAUUUAUAGAAGCUCAGGUAAACGGCGGGAGUAACUAUGACUCUCUUAAGGUAGCCAAAUGCCUCGUCAUCUAAUUAGUGACGCGCAUGAAUGGAUUAAUGAGAUUCCCACUGUCCCUAUCUACCAUCUAGCGAACCCAUAGCCAAGGGAACGAGCUUGGAAUAAUCAGCGGGGAAAGAAGACCCUGUUGAGCUUGACUCUAGUCCGACUUUGUGAAAUGACUUUCGAGAUAUAGCCUAAGUGGGAGCUAACGCGCCGCUGUAAAACCACUGCUCGCUUAGCCAUUUUACUUACUCCAUGAAGAAGUGGCCGAUUUUUCGGUUCUUAGAUUUAAGCCCUGACUCGUAUCAGGGCAAGCUUUGUGGAGGACACAGUCAGGUGGGGAGUUUGACUGGGGCGGUACAUCUGUUAAAACGUAACGCAGGUGUCCUACGAUGAGCUCAAAGAGAACAGAAAUCUCUUGUAGACCAAAAGGGGAAAAGCUCACUUGAUUUUGAUUUUCAGUACUAAUACAAACCGCGAAAGCGUGGCCUAUCGAUCCUUUAACUUUACAAGUUUUAAGCUAGAGGUGUCAGAAAAGUUACCACAGGGAUAACUGGCUUGUGGCAGCCAAGCGCCCAUAGCGACGUUGCUUUUUGAUCCUUCGAUGUCGGCUCUUCCUAUCAUUGUGAUGUACAAGUCACAACGUGUUGGAUUGUUCACCCGUUAAUAGGGAACGUGAGCUGGGUUUAGACCGUCGUGAGACAGGUUAGUUUUACCCUACUGAUGAAUCGAUGUUGCGACAGUAAUCUUACUUAGUACGAGAGGAACCGUUAGAUCAGAUAAUUGGUUAAUACGGUUAGCUGAAAAGCUAAUGCCGUGAAGCUACCAUCUGUUGGAUUAUGACUGAAAGCCUCUAAGUCAGAAACCAUGCUGGAAAGCGACGUCCAAUCAAUAAUAAAUGAAAAAGAAUAAGGGAAACCUUUAGUUCAGUAAGGGGACGGUCAAACUCGAAAGAGUAUAGCCAAACCCAGAAUAAAUUUUAAUUAUUAUUGU
Molecule: ribosomal RNA, 1449 nt
Filed under: metagenome
Description: eukaryotic LSU rRNA
Rfam family: Eukaryotic large subunit ribosomal RNA
Source: RNAcentral